Ananas comosus (pineapple) is the source of this 873-nucleotide long non-coding RNA. RefSeq lists it as uncharacterized. NCBI's taxonomy places the organism in Eukaryota, Viridiplantae, Streptophyta, Magnoliopsida, Poales, Bromeliaceae. The transcript has 2 exons. The record is from RefSeq and is a predicted model, not a curated record.
UUACUUGCUUUUGAUCUGUCUUCUUUAGGGCAUGUUUGUCCCUGCUAUUAAAGGUCAAGGAACUAACGAGCAACAACAGAAAUGGAUACCACUUGCCUAUAAAUUGCAAAUCAUCGGAUGCUAUGCUCAGAACUUGGUCAUGGCUCAAGCGUCCAAGGCCUUGAAACAACAGCAACUUUUGAUCCCAAAACUGAUGAAUUCGUCAUUCAUAGCCCGACUCUAACUUCAAGCAAAUGGUGGCCUGGUGGUUUGGGAAAAGUUUCUACACAUGCAGUUGUUUAUGCACGCCUUAUAAGUUGUCUUUAAUUAUGUUUUUUUUUUUUUUUUUCUUGUGUUCCUGUUGUUUGUCAGGAUAACUGUAAUUCUAAACACUUGGAUUGUUGUUGCGUUAUUUUUUAUUUUAAUUUCGACUAAUCCGAGAUAGUUAUAUUAUUUUAUGAAAUUGCCGGACACGACACUUGGGAUUACGGAAUAUUUUUCUUUUUGUUUUAUUGUAAUAAGACAGGUCGGCGGAUUGAGGAGGGAUGAUCGCCUGUUGCCUGUACCGUCGCCUUUCGCCAGCCCGAAUGCCCGAUCAUUCGUUGCCGCCGCCGUUGCCGCCAUUAUGUCGAGGACGAAAAUGUUUCCUUUUAUGAUAGUAUGCUAUAACCACUUGCUUGUAAUCAUUAAAAAGAAAAUUGCUUGUAAUCAUUAAAAAGAAAAUAUGUGAAGAAGGACGAAAUUAUUAUAAGUAUGUGAAGAAAUGGCGAAAUUAACAGAGCAUGAUUUCGUGUAAUUUUGGUUAAUGCACUUGAGUACAUUUUUCAGCUUGAAGUUCUUGCUGUAAUCAUAAAUGCUUAAAAAUUACAACCUCAAUGAUAAUUAUUUUAUUUA